ACGAACGCUGGCGGCGUGCUUAACACAUGCCAGUCGCACGGUGAAGCUCCAGCUUGCUGGAGUGGAUCAGUGGCGAACGGGUGAGUAACACGUGAGCAACCUGCCCCAGACUCUGGAAUAAGCGCUGGAAACGGCGUCUAAUACUGGAUACGAGAUCAAGCCGCAUGGUUAUGGUCUGGAAAGUUUUUCGGUUUGGGAUGGGCUCGCGGCCUAUCAGCUUGUUGGUGAGGUAAUGGCUCACCAAGGCGACGACGGGUAGCCGGCCUGAGAGGGCGACCGGCCACACUGGGACUGAGACACGGCCCAGACUCCUACGGGAGGCAGCAGUGGGGAAUAUUGCACAAUGGGCGAAAGCCUGAUGCAGCGACGCCGCGUGAGGGAUGACGGCCUUCGGGUUGUAAACCUCUUUCAGCAGGGAAGAAGCGAAAGUGACGGUACCUGCAGAAGAAGCACCGGCUAACUACGUG
Molecule: ribosomal RNA, 467 nt
Filed under: uncultured bacterium
Lineage: Bacteria
Description: partial 16S ribosomal RNA
Rfam family: Bacterial small subunit ribosomal RNA
Source: RNAcentral